UCGCGGCUUAUCACCGGCAGUCCCCUUAGAGUGCCCAACUGAAUGAUGGCAACUAAGGGCGAGGGUUGCGCUCGUUGCGGGACUUAACCCAACAUCUCACGGCACGAGCUGACGACAGCCAUGCACCACCUGCGCAGAAGUCCCUUGCGGGAGGUGCUCACUUUCGUGAGCAUUUCCUCUGCAUGUCAAACCCAGGUAAGGUUCUUCGCGUCGCAUCGAAUUAAACCACAUGCUCCACCGCUUGUGCGGGCCCCCGUCAAUUUCUUUGAGUUUUAAUCUUGCGACCGUACUUCCCAGGCGGCACGUUUAACGCGUUAGCUUCGCCACAAAAGGGGUCGAUUCCUUUUACAGCAAACGUGCACCGUUUACGGCUAGGACUAC
Molecule: unclassified non-coding RNA, 381 nt
Filed under: uncultured bacterium
Lineage: Bacteria
Description: contains 16S-23S intergenic spacer region
Source: RNAcentral